This 377-nucleotide long non-coding RNA is filed under the name Vigna radiata. RNAcentral describes it as "long non-coding RNA (VRAD_LNC015958)". The record is from RNAcentral. Lineage: Eukaryota; Viridiplantae; Streptophyta; Magnoliopsida; Fabales; Fabaceae.
AUAUAUAUAUAUAUAUAUAAUUUAAGUAAUUUCUUACAUUUCUUUCAAUUAUCAGCGACUCUUCAUUUUUAAUUUCAUGUUAGAAAUCUUUAUUUAUUUAAGCUCAUGGAUUUAUUCUUUUCAUUUUUUUUCUUUUUCUUCUUUUUCUUCAAUUCUAACUUCAACCCUGAUUACCAUAUGUCACCAUGUCAUUAUCGUCCUGUUAGUGUUAGUGUUUUUACGCCUUCAUCUUCUUUUCUUUCUUUUUCUCUUUCUUCCCCUUCUCUUGCUUCUUUUUCUCUUAUUCACACUCAUUUUCUCUUAAUAUACAACAAAAGUAAUCAAAAUAUGCAAAAAACUUGCCACUCAUUUUGCCAACAAGUUAUUGAAAAAAAUAU